GAAAAAUGAGAGAAAGAGAAUGGAAUCACACCAUGCUUGUAUAACCUUUCGCGCUUUCUCCCUUUUUUUCUUUUCUUCUUCCUCUUCUUCUCUUC
This 95-nucleotide non-coding RNA is filed under the name uncultured eukaryote. The record is from RNAcentral.